CAGGUUAAGAGACCCUAGUUUAUGGAGGC
Molecule: non-coding RNA, 29 nt
Filed under: Mus musculus (house mouse)
Lineage: Eukaryota; Metazoa; Chordata; Mammalia; Rodentia; Muridae
Source: RNAcentral